AGCUGGUCCGGGUGCAGUGGUGUUACAACUAAUGGAUCACAACCAGUCACGGAUUUCUUUGUUCCAUCUCCAUUCCCACUUCUUCACUUGACUAGCCUUAA
Homo sapiens (human) is the source of this 101-nucleotide unclassified non-coding RNA. It matches the Rfam family "Y RNA". From Rfam's summary of the family: Y RNAs are components of the Ro ribonucleoprotein particle (Ro RNP), in association with Ro60 and La proteins. The Y RNAs and Ro60 and La proteins are well conserved, but the function of the Ro RNP is not known. In humans the RNA component can be one of four small RNAs -- hY1, hY3, hY4 and hY5. Lineage: Eukaryota; Metazoa; Chordata; Mammalia; Primates; Hominidae. The record is from Ensembl.